RNAcentral lists this ribosomal RNA (263 nucleotides) under uncultured bacterium. RNAcentral's name for it is "partial 16S ribosomal RNA". It matches the Rfam family "Bacterial small subunit ribosomal RNA", at positions 90 to 354 of the family's 1533-position model. The record is from RNAcentral.
CAUGAGUGGCGGACGGGUGAGUAACGCGUGGGCAACCUGGCCUGUACAGGGGGAUAACACUUAGAAAUAGGUGCUAAUACCGCAUAACGGGGGAAGCCGCAUGGCUUUUCCCUGAAAACUCCGGUGGUACAGGAUGGGCCCGCGUCUGAUUAGCCAGUUGGCAGGGUAACGGCCUACCAAAGCGACGAUCAGUAGCCGGCCUGAGAGGGCGGACGGCCACAUUGGGACUGAGACACGGCCCAGACUCCUACGGAAGGCAGCAG